AGAGAAUUCAGCUUAGGCUAGUUAACUCUACAUUAUAUGGUUUUGUUUUGAAUUUCAAAAUUUUGUGCAGGCAAUGCGAUGUACUCAAGGUUCUUUAAAGCCAAUAUUCAUAUCUAUUGGACAUCGCAUAUCUCUCGAUGCAUCUGUCAAGUUUGUUAAAAUGUGUUGUAACUACUGUGUACCAGAGCCAAUCCGGCAAGUAAAGUUUAUUGCUUUCUUUUGUGCUCACAUAACACAUGAGUCUGUCUUAUUUCAGUUUGGACUUUUUCAAAUUUUAGUUUAGUGAUUUGCUUAUUUUAAUCGCUUCAUUUAAUGUGGAAUUUGAGGAUUUGAUUUUCCAGGAGGCAUAUGAAGUAGCCAAAACUCUUCCUAAAGACGGAGUGACUAGAGCAUCAGUCAUUGACUGCUCUUAGUAUUCAAAAGGACACUGAUUCUGAGGAGGAACUGAAGGAGGUUUUCAAGAUCUUUGACAAGGAUCAAAAUGGUUACAUUUCUGCUGCAGAGGUUGUUGCUGUAGAGGGGGGAGCUUUGGGUGGUAUGGUCAGGCAGCUUUCAUUGAUCAGUUUGAAAAUUAAGGCCGGUGGGUUAGCUAUGGUACUCCAGAGAAUGCAACUAUAGAUAACUUUUUUAUUAGUAUUAUGCUUUUAUGAAUGGAUAACUUUUUUUUUAAUUGGUAUUGUACUAAUGGAUUAAAAUAAAUGAUUGUAUUUGAUUGAUUGAAUGAAUGAUUAUG
Molecule: long non-coding RNA, 733 nt
Organism: Magnolia sinica
Lineage: Eukaryota; Viridiplantae; Streptophyta; Magnoliopsida; Magnoliales; Magnoliaceae
Exons: 3
Source: RefSeq, a predicted model, not a curated record